GGUCUGCUGCGGCUCGCGUCGAAGGCCAAAUUCCCGGGGACCUUAAUUCACCUCUAAGGGAGCUGUCCCUGGCCGGGUCCGUGGACCCGGACACACGGCGCCCACCUGUCUACAGCAGGUCCGAGGGGAAUUUAACCACCUUCACGGCUCUCGCGGCGCCGC
This 162-nucleotide non-coding RNA is filed under the name Phenylobacterium sp. RNAcentral describes it as "6S RNA". It matches the Rfam family "6S / SsrS RNA". Rfam says of the family: E. coli 6S RNA was the first non coding RNA to be sequenced, but its function was unknown until recently. It consists of 184 nucleotides that fold into an extended hairpin structure with a large single-stranded internal bulge. The 6S RNA specifically associates with RNA polymerase holoenzyme containing the sigma70 specificity factor. The record is from RNAcentral. Lineage: Bacteria; Pseudomonadati; Pseudomonadota; Alphaproteobacteria; Caulobacterales; Caulobacteraceae.